Long non-coding RNA from Cervus elaphus (red deer), 3248 nucleotides. RefSeq lists it as uncharacterized. NCBI's taxonomy places the organism in Eukaryota, Metazoa, Chordata, Mammalia, Artiodactyla, Cervidae. The transcript is spliced from 4 exons. The record is from RefSeq and is a predicted model, not a curated record.
GCCACACACAGGUUCGCCUUCUGCAUCAGUCUGGUUGAGUGAGUUCCACACUUGUGAGGGGGUGACUGAGAGGCAAAGACUAUGUCAUCCUUUGCCAAAAUUAUUGGGUGUUUAAAACAUCUUCCAAGAUGCUUUCUGCUGUUUUAUAUGCCUGGUUAAGAACUCCGCUCCAAGAGAAACAAAUUUGAAGAUGAUCCAUGGAGUGAAACUCUACCCCAUGCCUCUUCUCCCGCUUUAAUGAGAAACAUCAUUCUGCGUUCAGAAGAUACCCAAACAUUUCGUAUGUAUAUGUCUUUGCCCUCACUGACCGCGAUGAAGAGAGAGCUCUCUCUUUAAGCCAGUGGCUCUCAAACUUGAGGCUGCUUCCGAAUCAAAGAAGACCUUUGUUAAAAUGCAGUUUGUUGAGUUCCACCCUCAGAGUUUCUGAUUUAGUAGGUCUGGGGUGGGGCCUGAGAAUUUGUGUUUCUAGCAAGUUCCCAGGAGAGGGGGAUGGAUCCCGGGACGUCCUUUGAGGACCUCUAUUAGAAGCAAACCUGCGAGUUCAAUGAGAACGCUUCUACGGUUUCUUCAGUAUCUCAGUUUUCUCCGAAGCACAGUUUCACAGGUACGUGAAAAUUGGAUCUGAAGUAUGUGGUUGGAAAAGGAAGCCCAGAAUAUUGUAGGCUGAUGGAGCAAUUAUGGAGAAGUUCCAAGCGAAACAGGAUGAUCAACUUCACAGAACACACACCUGAAUGAAUCUAUUGAACACAGCAUUUGAGGCACCUCAGCUGUGAGGCAUCAGACAUCACACCCAGGAUGAUUCAGUGAAUGAGCUCAUGGAGGCAGAAAUAGAAUAUGAUUGUAAACAAACACACAAACAAACAGCAGAAACAGAAUCCACUGUGAUGUACCGUGAUUUGGAAAGGGGGCACAGAAAGGGCGAUGGAGAACCAGAAGUCCGUCAUGUCCUUGAGAGAGGAUGUCUUGGCUGCUUGGAGGAACAGCAUCUGGGCCUUUUGGACUAUACUGCGGAGAUGCAGGCAUCAGCCUGUUGGGGACCAUUUCACAUUCAGCUGAGCAUCCUUCCUCUGUGGAAAAUAGAGCUUCUAUUCAAGGACCAAACUUCACCAUGACAAAUGACUCUGGUUUUAAACCAUUUCCAAGAGAAGGGUCACGUGUUCCUGUGUACCCAGAAGCUACGUCCUGCGUUCCCACAGUCCAAACACUACACCUACUAUGUGGGAGCAAUCACAGCGAAAGACAGAGACACUUGUUAAGCAUCGAGUGUCUCAUACAGUGAGAUGAGACGCUCAUGCUGUUGAGAGAUAGGUCUAAUGAUCUGGUUCUUUGUUUUCCCCUGAAAAAGAAAUUUCAAAAUAUAGAGCAUGUCACAAAGAAGGGUUUCCAAAUUGACUCAAAAAAAGAUAAAUAAUGACAGAAAGAAAUAAUGGUAAUUUGUUAAACAGGUUCGAAUGUGUCUGAAAAUUAUGACUGUAAAUAGUCAAAAAUUAAAUACAUAUAAUAAGAAUAAAAGAUAAGACAUGUUAGUUAUACUAUUAACCAUUGUAAAAUGAAUUAUUGUUUACAUUUAUGGCAUAUCUAUGGCAUAUUUAUGGCUUCCCAGGCGGCACUAGCAGUAAAGAACCUGACUGCCAGUGCAGGAGAUGUAAGAGAUGCGGGUUCAAUCCCUCCGUUGGGAAAUUCCCCUGGAGGAGGGCGUGGCGACCCACUCCGGUACUCUUGCCUGGAGAAACCCAUGGACAGAGGAGCCUGUUGGGCUACAUUCCAUAGUGUCGCAAAGAGUCAGAUAGGACUGAGGCAUCUUAGCACUUAUCCAUAAAACCUAAGAUAAUACACUGAAAUACUAUUUCUAUCAAUAAAAAUUAAUUGUUUAAAAAAAAUUUUGGCUGCUCCACACAGCGUAUCGGAUCUUAGUUCCCCUACUGGAAUGGAACCUCUGCUUUCUGUAGUGGAAACACAAUCUCAACUCCUGGACUGCCAGGCAAGUCCCAUGACCAGGUUCUUUAAUUGGCCUUUCUUUAUAUAAAUCUCUUUCGCUUAGUGCUUAUGUGUACAGAAAACUGUCAUUUCUGUAACCUCACUUUCUCAGGGAAGUGGAUUCAGAGAAUUAAGGUGACUCAAGGUCACAUUUCUUAAAAUGAUCAGAGUCAGAGCCCCUGACUUUGAAUUGAGGUUCUGCUGCUUAGAUCCAAGUGUCUUUUGAUAAGCGAUAUUUCUGUGUUGUGUUUUCAUUGCCUUUAUGUCCUGAGUGGUUGCAUUUUAUGGCAUGACUCACUAAAAUUAUGAGCUUAAGUCUCCAAUGUGAGCCCCCCAACUCCACCUUGCCUCAGGGCAAGUAUUCACAAGGAGGAGUAGCUUAUGAGCUUGGGUUCUGCGGGAGCCGGAAAGCUCUGCAAGGAACCGAGUCCAGACUAGUGGACAGGAAGCCUUCAGGUGUUUAGACCCCCUUGUCCUACACGGAGCUUUCUGGCUCGGCUCUGUGCCAGGCCUUCUUACUGUCUUUCCUCCCCUUGGCAUAAGGCAAGGACUUACGUUUGAUGUUAAUGAGAGUGUGUUCGUGUUAAGUCGCUUCAGUUGUGUCCGACUUAAUGCAAGUGGAGCAAUAUAAUUCCCUUCCCCUGCUCACCAAUAGAGAGAGACCCUUUGGAGAAGAAACAAGCUUGAUGCACGUUGCUAAAAAUGUGUCUCGUGUUUGAUGGAUAUAAAUCUGAACGGUAAAUCUGCCUCACUGCCCGCUGACAUCAGUCUUCUCCUCUUCCACUUUACGAGACUGUAAAAAGCUUCUGAAGUGUCACCUUCUAACACAUGGCAAUGCAGACCAAUGGGUGCUGCUAAUAAAACCACCCUUGAAAGCUUGGGCUAUGGGCCUGGUGACAGCAGGAUAGCUGCCUGCUGAGCGGGUAGUCUCUGAGUAUUUACUACUUGUUCUUUCCACUUUGAUGAGGAGGAGGGAGGUGAGACCAUGAAUGGCAGCGAACAUAGGUGAUCACAAGGAAGGAUGUGGUCCAGAGAUGGGGGGUGGGAGAUUAUCUUUAAACUGAUACUACAUUUAAAAUUACAAAGGCCCUGAGAUUUAAAAAUAUAGUUGCCUUUGGGGUGCUGAUUAUAUUUACUAAUUUUUGAUAAAUAGAUCACUGUGUUCUUGUUAUUGUUGUUCAGUUGCUACGUUAUGGCUGACUCUUUGCGACCCCAUGGACUUCAGCCCUCCAGGCUCCCCUGUCCUUCACUGUCUCCCAGAGUUGGCUCAA